GAUCAUGGCUCAGGAUGAACGCUAGCGACAGGCUUAACACAUGCAAGUCGAGGGGCAGCGGGGUGUAGCAAUACACCGCCGGCGACCGGCGCACGGGUGAGUAACGCGUAUGCAACUUGCCUAUCAGAGGGGGGAUAACCCGGCGAAAGUCGGACUAAUACCGCAUGAAGCAGGGAUCCCGCAUGGGAAUAUUUGCUAAAGAUUCAUCGGUGAUGGAUGGGGAUGCGU
This 228-nucleotide ribosomal RNA is filed under the name uncultured bacterium. RNAcentral's name for it is "partial 16S ribosomal RNA". It matches the Rfam family "Bacterial small subunit ribosomal RNA", at positions 15 to 236 of the family's 1533-position model. The record is from RNAcentral.